CACAACUGUACAUAUUUGACCAUUUAUUUUUUGACAUUUUAGGGGAAGCUGAGCUUCCCUUGCAGUCUUAGAGAAAUCGCCUCUGCAGCUCAGGUAUUUUCUAUUUAGCGUUGCAUUAACACUGAGCAUUUUCUGUGCAUGUAUGAUAAGCUGUGAAUAACACCAAUGGGUGACCUUGUUUUAUUUGCCUCCCAUGCCCAGCACAAAGUCCUGCAGGGUCCUGUGCAACAGUGCUUGUCUGAAGCUGUUUAUAUUAGCCAGUAAUAUGAAGAUGUUUCAUUUAGCUUCACUUACCGAUACAAUCUCUUCUGGAAUCAGUUCAGCUGCAAUGUUUUUUCCGUGAAAACUAAAGCAAAGUGUGAAGAAUGAGACUGAUGCGCCAAGCUGAGUGCGUUUAACAAUGACCCAGCACUCGACUGUCAGGCAAUGUUCUGGUUUUGCAGUCUUUCUGGGAAGAGCAGGUGCGGCACCUCUUGGCUUUACUUCCUGUGCCUUUUGGUGAGACUUUGGCUGGAGCAGGACCAGAUUCCUCCAUUGGAGCGAAGUUUCUGACCAAACGGAGGAGGCAGUGUAUACUGCCAGGACCGGGUCCUGAAAUGCUGAACCCACUCAGACCAGCAUAUUCCAUCUAUCUAAACUGUUAAGUUGAAAUUGCGACUGCUUUGACUAGUUCAGCAAGCUGGAUGAAUGAUAGCUAGCUAAGUAAUGACAUGAAAAUUAAGCUGGUUGCUAACUAGCAUGUUAGGCUUACCUGGGACUGCAGAAGUUGUCGUUCUGCCCACAUUCACUGCUGCAAGUGGGGCACUCCAUCUGCCUCCCUCUGGGCAAACACAACACAACACAACACAAUGAUGAAAACAUUCAGCCCAGCAAUGCUUACCUUUACCAAACACUGAACUGUACCUACUGCUUAGUUUGCCUAAAAGCUAGAUAGUAUCUAACACUAUCAAGCCAGACUUCAACUUUUCAUUGUUUGAUAACUUUUUUCAUUAAAUCAAUUAAACAAUCAUUUAAAUAUUUA
Long non-coding RNA from Conger conger (European conger), 1021 nucleotides. RefSeq lists it as uncharacterized. NCBI's taxonomy places the organism in Eukaryota, Metazoa, Chordata, Actinopteri, Anguilliformes, Congridae. The transcript has 2 exons. The record is from RefSeq and is a predicted model, not a curated record.